AGGACGAACGCUGGCGGCAUGCCUAACACAUGCAAGUCGAACGAGAGUAGCAAUACUCGAGUGGCGAACGGGUGAGUAACACGUGAGCAACCUGCCUUACACAACGGGAUACCUACUGGAAACAGUAGUUAAUACGGUAUAAGACCACAGUACCGCAUGAUACAGUGGUAAAAAGAUUUAUCGGUGUAAGAUGGGCUCGCGGCGCAUUAGCUAGUUGGUGGGGUAACGGCUCACCAAGGCGACGAUGCGUAGCCGACCUGAGAGGGUGAUCGGCCACAUUGGGACUGAGAUACGGCCCAGACUCCUACGGGAGGCAGCAGUGGGGAAUAUUGGGCAAUGGAGGAAACUCUUUAACCCCAGCAAUGCCGCGUGAACGAAGAAGGUCGUAAGAUUGUAAAGUUCUUUAGUCAGGGAUUAAUAAAUGAAAGAUCUGAAGAAUAAGCUCCGGCUAACUACGUGCCAGCCGCUGC
Molecule: ribosomal RNA, 470 nt
Filed under: uncultured bacterium
Lineage: Bacteria
Description: bacterial SSU rRNA
Rfam family: Bacterial small subunit ribosomal RNA
Source: RNAcentral